Molecule: long non-coding RNA, 1273 nt
Organism: Aedes albopictus (Asian tiger mosquito)
Lineage: Eukaryota; Metazoa; Arthropoda; Insecta; Diptera; Culicidae
Exons: 2
Source: RefSeq, a predicted model, not a curated record
GUUCAGAAGCAUUCUAUCAAAAAACUAUGUAUGGAUGAAUUGAACCUUGUGGUUUUAUCUGGAAGUUCGCUGAAUAGCAUUAGGGUCGCACACGCAUACCAAAUUCGCGAACGAGCUGUGAAGGCAACUCUCCACGCGGUGAAUGUAAAUUACAUUCACGCCGUGGAGAGUUGCGUUUGCUGCCUUCUGUUGACUUUAGUAUUAGCGCUACACUAAUACAUUGUUCUACAAAGUUUCAGGUAAAACCAAAAUGUAAAAGUGCUCCAUACAUUAGUUUUUGCUACGAUGUUUCUGAAGCGAGUUACUCGCAAGUGAAUGUAAAUAAUUGCAAAUGAAUGAUCUUAUCCUUGAUUAUCAAUAGAUUUUUGCAGUUGUUUGGGUACACUAUCUAUUUUGCAGCAGCUUUUCGGAGCAGCUCAAAAACUGAAAUUUAAUUUAUUAGCGUUAACAAAUAUGUUUACAUUUGAAAUUCUUCCCACUACUCACUCAAAUAGUUUCCUCCUUUCUUACGAAUCCACCUUCUUCCUUGAUCUUACUUGCUCUCCCUCUUGCUUUCUCCUUCUUUAACUUCACUCCUGCUAUUCAAACAACUCAUUAAACUACGAACGUUCACUGUCUUCAAUGAAAUACUUACAACUACACCGUACAAAGCAACGCUAGCUUACGGUUUCAUCCAAUGCUCCGUCUUCCGUGUGGUACAAACUAGGUCACCGACGCAGUUAACUACACCUACGUAUAAUUUAGCGCGACCUUCCGUUCGCUAACACAGAUAAUUUUUUGGAAUAAGGACUGUUCAAUUUAUAAAACGGACAACUUGCUUGUGCGAUAUCUUUUUUAUUUUUCAAUAAAAUCAUUAUCAAUUUUUUGCGUAACUUUCUAUAGCUAUUCUCAAAUGUAGGAAAAAUAUAACAUUAAGCAAAAUGUUGCUUAUUGUGUAACUGAAGCGGUUUUCGUAAAACAUCAAUAAAAACCCAUUUCUUAAAAUUCGACAUAACUUUCCACAUACUUAACAUGCACAUUUUCAUGAAGUUUUUAAUGAAUUGGAAGCUCACACUAUUCUAUUAAAGGUCAGGCUCAAUAGUUGAUCAGCAAUAAUGCACCAAGCAGGCUCCAGCUUGAUAUAGUGAGUUGCCUAGUUUUCAUAGAAAUUAUUAAAAAAUGUUAAAAUAAGUCCUGUGUUGCAAUAACAUCACGGAUUCGGCUAAAAAUUUGUCCAGAGUAGUAGAAUAUUGCUCUCUGAAUGAUACAGAAGAAAAAUUAACUAUUAAUUGCA